UCGAGCGGCGAACGGGUGAGUAACACGUGAGCAACCUGCCCUAGGCUUUGGGAUAACCCUCGGAAACGGGGGCUAAUACCGAAUAUUCACUCAUGGGCGCAUGUUUGUGGGUGGAAAGUUUUUCGGCUUGGGAUGGGCUCGCGGCCUAUCAGCUUGUUGGUGGGGUAAUGGCCUACCAAGGCGACGACGGGUAGCCGGCCUGAGAGGGCGACCGGCCACACUGGGACUGAGACACGGCCCAGACUCCUACGGGAGGCAGCAGUGGGGAAUAUUGCACAAUGGGCGGAAGCCUGAUGCAGCGACGCCGCGUGAGGGAUGACGGCCUUCGGGUUGUAAACCUCUUUCAGCAGGGACGAAGCGCAAGUGACGGUACCUGCAGAAGAAGCGCCGGCCAACUACGUGCCAGCAGCCGCGGUAAGACGUAGGGCGCGAGCGUUGUCCGGAUUUAUUGGGCGUAAAGAGCUCGUAGGCGGCUUGUCGCGUCGACUGUGAAAACCCGUGGCUCAACUGCGGGCCUGCAGUCGAUACGGGCAGGCUAGAGUUCGGUAGGGGAGACUGGAAUUCCUGGUGUAGCGGUGAAAUGCGCAGAUAUCAGGAGGAACACCGGUGGCGAAGGCGGGUCUCUGGGCCGAUACUGACGCUGAGGAGCGAAAGCGUGGGGAGCGAACAGGAUUAGAUACCCUGGUAGUCCACGCUGUAA
RNAcentral lists this ribosomal RNA (700 nucleotides) under Actinomycetes bacterium. RNAcentral describes it as "bacterial SSU rRNA". It matches the Rfam family "Bacterial small subunit ribosomal RNA", at positions 91 to 805 of the family's 1533-position model. Lineage: Bacteria; Bacillati; Actinomycetota; Actinomycetes. The record is from RNAcentral.